RNAcentral lists this long non-coding RNA (3563 nucleotides) under Pan troglodytes (chimpanzee). RNAcentral describes it as "long non-coding RNA NONPTRT016474". Lineage: Eukaryota; Metazoa; Chordata; Mammalia; Primates; Hominidae. The record is from RNAcentral.
CUUCACAGCAGAGUCAGAGAACUAAGUGACAAGUGGAGCAUCGUCCUCCUCCUGCUCACUUCCUCCUCGCCACCUCUCUGGCCUGGCUAUCCUUCAGUCUGAAGAGUGAUUCACUUUUUCUUUUCUUUUUAGUCUUUACUGUGGAAUCUCAUCAAAGACUUGGAAGGAGGGGUGGUGAGAGGGGCGUGGGGGGUGGUGUGGAGGGUCGAGUUCUCUGUCGUCCCACAGUCACCCCCAGGACCACCUUGCGAAGCCGAAAAUACACACCUGCAUUUUACCGACAAGGAACGCCACUCAGAAAGCUGCAGACAUUUGCCUGGGGUCACGCUUACAGUGGGCAGAUGAACUGGAUGUAAAUACAGAAUUACCUAACUUUCCUUGACUAUGAAUUCAACAUUCAAGAAUCUUCUUCUGGUAGCAGGAGCGGCAGAGAGGACAGGCAUGGAAAGGAGGCCUGUCUCCCACGGAGAACUCCUCUAGUGCCAGCAGACACGCAUGGUGGAACACGUGUGAGCAGGACAGGAGGGCCAUCUCUCUGGAACGCCGGCCCGCGCCCACGCGCUGACCGCCAGCAGCGGAGAGAGGGGCCAGGCAGAUGGAGCACUCGUGGGUCUCCCGGCGCAGAGCCUGCGGCACACAGGACGGGAAGAGGCCACGCGGGUUAGUUUCAUCACAGCAGAAAGUUACUUCAACUGAAAUGCGAACCACGUGCCCCGAGACAUGGGUCUUCGAAACAUGCGGAAGUUUCAUUCUGUGUUAAAAUCACAGGCAUUAUAUAUAUAUAUAUACACACACACACUCUGUUACUCCUGGGAACUGUGGAAAGGGUUAGUAACCCACCUGUGAUAAGCAACAUCCAACAGGAACUUCCAGAAUUUCAAACUGAAGGGACCUUUGCCGUCACCCUAAAGCCCAUGAGGAAAGUCCUACCACAGGUGCAGGGGCAGCUAGGGCAGCGGUUACCCCGGACCUGACACUCCUAGGUUCCCCAAAGUGAGUCCUCGACCUCCCCCGACAUGCCACCCCCACAGCCUCCACGGCUGCACCCCGGACCUGACACUCCUAGGCUCCCCAAAGUGAGUCCUCGACCUCCCCCCACAUGCCACUCCCCACAGCCUCUGCAGCUGCAGCUGAGUCUGCUGGUUGCCAGGCUGCCAGCCAAACCUACCUGCACUUGGAUUUUCUCCCAUUCCUCUUCUGUGAUCUCAUGGCCACAUUUUUCUUCCAACUGCUGAAGAACACUUCGAUUUAUGGCCAAGCACUGAUCGAUUUCUGCAAAGAGCUCUUCAAUGUUGGUGUUGUAUGAGCACAGGAUGCGGUGGCUGAUUUCUGUGAACUGAGGAGGACAGAGCGGGGGGUAAGCUCACACCUGAGCUCGGUGGAGGUUGCAGGGAAGCGCUCUCGAGCCUGACCAUCUAUUUUGGUAACCUUCCUCGUCUCUGUCUUCGAAUAAUACUUUUUAGGGAAAUAGAUAUAUGUCUAUUUUACUUAACUAUAAAUCCAGAUAAUCUAUCUGGACAGAUGACCACAAGAACCCCUAUCUGAUGGAGUCCAGAACACACUACCCCAAAAUACGGCACCUUGGCAUACUGAAUAUUUUAAGGAAAAAACAUUCCUUCCCAAAGGAAUUUGAGAAAUGACGGCUGCAGGAGGGACCGUCUGACCUCUCCCCACCCCCAAAGUGGGUCAUAGGACCCUCCUGUGAGAGGCACCCUCGUCUCCAAAGACGGAGGGAGCCGGGAGGAGACAGCACACAGGCCUUGCCGUGGUUCCCACCGACCACCCUCAGCUCACCCCUUGUCCUGUCACGCUUCCCCACGACCUCUGUGUCCUCAUCCAACCUAGCAUAGAAAGCGCUCAGGCGUUACUGCCUCUUCGGGUCUCUGCUGCCCCUUCGGGUCUCCGCUGCCUUAGGAAGGCUUCCAUAUCACAUGGGACUUACUAAGUAAAUCCGUGUAAUUUUCUCGUAAAGCUUAACUUACAGGGCUCCAGCUGAAGAAUUUAGGAGGGUAGGGGAAAAGGGUAUAUUGUUUCCCUCCCCUGCUGUUUUCUUGGUUGUGAGCUUUGACCAUUAGCAGGAACACAUUUGAAAUUAAAAGUUGAGAGAAAAGUUCAAAUUUCGCAGGAUCAGCUCUGUCCCAUAGAAACAUACUGUGAGCUACGUAUGUAAUUUUAAAAUUUCUGGCAGUCACAUUAAGUUUUUUAAAAGGCGAAAUUAAUUUUAAUAUUGUAUCUGACCCAACAUAUCCAAAAUAUUAUCACUUCAACGUUUAUUAAUUGAAUACAGUACUUUGUGUUUUUUUGGUAUUUUUGUUUGGUUUGGUGGAGACAGCAUCUCGCUCUGUCACCCAAACUGGAGUGCUUGGGGCCAUCAAUGCUCACUCAGCCUCGGCCUCCCGGGCUCAAGCCAUCCUACACUAGAAAGGUCUGAGUCAUUACAGAGUGGCCACCGGUGUCAUCUGAGGCACAGGUAGGUGGCUCAUUCAGGGCCACACCAGCAGCUCCUUUUUAGGACAUGUGAAGAGUGUAAAGCAAAGGAGAAUAAGGUGUGUAAAAGGUUGUGCCAAUGGUGACUGUCAGCCACGCUUCCUGCCCUCUUGCUUGUCCUUUCAAGUGCAGAGCUGUGGCUCACCCAGAGAUGACAUUUCCCAUUCCCCCAUGCCCAGGUGGGGCCACGUGAAGUAGUUCUUCCAGAUGGACGUGGCUCAUGUCUCUUCUGGGUGUUCUCCAGGCCCGGGGGGUGGCAGAUAAAGGGCAGAGGGAGACAGUUCCCGAGCCCCACAGGCUGGCAUGUUGCCUGCAAGCCAGGACACCUGAACUGUCCUAUGAGACCGAAGCUCUGGCUUUCAGUCACUGAAAUUCGGGGGGUUAUUUGUCCAGCAGUGAGAAGUUCCCUGAUUCAGCAGUUACAUCUGCUUCAUGGAAUCGAGCUUGAAGCACAAAGAAGGAUGAAAUGAACAAGUCCCGUGGAGAUCUCACACAUUUAGAUAUGUGAUGGGGAAAAUGCAUUUUGGAUGGUCCAUGACUGUCCAGGUUUCAAAUAUUCUAGUCUACUGGAGUCCUCACGUUCACUUUUUCUUUUUUUCUUUUUUUUAUUAAUGUGGAGCAACCUGGCAGAACGUAGUAUUUAAAUCACCAGACUUCUGAAGGUGCCUUUGAGGACAUGGAGUUCUCUUCCAAUUCUCUCCCUUCUGCAAAAAGAUCGUGAGACAGCGCAGGGUCGAGUGCUGUGGAGACUAUGAGCUGCCUUUGUCCCUGGGAUGUUAGAAGAAUGAGUAUGGCUCUAAGGAUGAGAGGUCCUUUUGAGUAAAGAACAUUCUGUGAACACAGCAGGCAGUCCACAAGGGUUGGGGUUUGAAUGAAGGGGGUGGCUGAGGAUCUUCCAGGCACCUGUGUUUUGGGAUUAGCCGUACUUGGAAGCCUGGUGGAAGCUGCUUUUCUAUUUAUGAGUCAAAUGCUCUUUCACUCUGAAUGUAAUUAUAACUGCCAAGCAGCUGUAUCUUAAUUUAGGGUCUUGAAUCGGUAACGUUUCCUAAGGCUUUAAUUUUAAUUUUCUUUAUUCC